Molecule: small nuclear RNA, 106 nt
Filed under: Neogale vison (American mink)
Lineage: Eukaryota; Metazoa; Chordata; Mammalia; Carnivora; Mustelidae
Source: RNAcentral
GUGCUCACUGGGGCUGCACAUAUACUAAAGUUGGAAAAAUACAGAGAAGAUUGGCAUGACCCCAGUGAAAGGUUUACGUGUGAGUCUGUGUACCAUCCAUACUUUU